GAGUUUGAUCCUGGCUCAGGAUGAACGCUAGCGGCAGGCUUAAUACAUGCAAGUCGUGGGGCAGCAUGAGUGUAGCAAUACAUUUGAUGGCGACCGGCAAACGGGUGCGGAACACGUACACAACCUUCCUUUAAGUGGGGAAUAGCCUAAGGAAACUUGGAUUAAUACCCCGUAACAUUAUGGAGUGGCAUCACUUUAUAAUUAUAGCUCCGGCGCUUAAUGAUGGGUGUGCGGCUGAUUAGAUAGUUGGCGGGGUAACGGCCCACCAAGUCUGCGAUCAGUAACUGGUGUGAGAGCACGACCAGUCACACGGGCACUGAGACACGGGCCCGACUCCUACGGGAGGCAGCAGUAAGGAAUAUUGGUCAAUGGACGCAAGUCUGAACCAGCCAUGCCGCGUGGAGGAUGAAGGCCCUCUGGGUUGUAAACUUCUUUUAUCUGGGACGAAAAAGGGCUUUCUAGUUCAACUGACGGUACCAGAGGAAUAAGCACCGGCUAACUCCGUGCCAGCAGCCGCC
This 518-nucleotide ribosomal RNA is filed under the name uncultured Sphingobacterium sp. Its description in RNAcentral is "bacterial SSU rRNA". It matches the Rfam family "Bacterial small subunit ribosomal RNA", at positions 9 to 519 of the family's 1533-position model. The record is from RNAcentral. Lineage: Bacteria; Pseudomonadati; Bacteroidota; Sphingobacteriia; Sphingobacteriales; Sphingobacteriaceae.